AUUGAACGCUGGCGGCAUGCUUUACACAUGCAAGUCGAACGGUAACAGGCCUUCGGGUGCUGACGAGUGGCGAACGGGUGAGUAAUGCAUCGGAACGUACCCAGAGGUGGGGGAUAACGCAGCGAAAGCUGUACUAAUACCGCAUGUGAUCUGAGGAUGAAAGCGGGGGACCGAGCAGCAAUGCUUGGCCUCGCGCCUUUGGAGCGGCCGAUGUCGGAUUAGCUAGUUGGUGGGGUAAAGGCCUACCAAGGCGACGAUCCGUAGCUGGUCUGAGAGGACGACCAGCCACACUGGGACUGAGACACGGCCCAGACUCCUACGGGAGGCAGCAGUGGGGAAUUUUGGACAAUGGGCGCAAGCCUGAUCCAGCAAUGCCGCGUGCGGGAAGAAGGCCUUCGGGUUGUAAACCGCUUUUGGCAGGAACGAAACGGUGUCCGCUAAUACCGGGCGCUAAUGACGGUACCUGCAGAAUAAGCACCGGCUAACUACGUG
RNAcentral lists this ribosomal RNA (492 nucleotides) under uncultured bacterium. RNAcentral describes it as "partial 16S ribosomal RNA". It matches the Rfam family "Bacterial small subunit ribosomal RNA", at positions 29 to 507 of the family's 1533-position model. The record is from RNAcentral.